GAUGAACGCUAGCGGGAGGCCUAACACAUGCAAGCCGAGCGGUAUUGUUUCUUCGGAAAUGAGAGAGCGGCGUACGGGUGCGGAACACGUGUGCAACCUGCCUUUAUCUGGGGGAUAGCCUUCGAAAGGAAGAUUAAUACUCCAUAAUAUAUUGAACGGCAUCGUUUAAUAUUGAAAGCUCCGGCGGAUAGAGAUGGGCACGCGCAAGAUUAGCUAGUUGGUGAGGUAACGGCUCACCAAGGCGAUGAUCUUUAGGGGGCCUGAGAGGGUGAUCCCCCACACUGGUACUGAGACGCGGGCCAGACUCCUACGGGAGGCAGCAGUGAGGAAUAUUGGUCAAUGGGUGCAAGCCUGAACCAGCCAUCCCGCGUGAAGGACGACUGCCCUAUGGGUUGUAAACUUCUUUUGUAUAGGGAUAAGCCUACCCUCGUGAGGGUAGCUGAAGGUACUAUACGAAUAAGCACCGGCUAACUCCGUGCCAGCCGCCGCUGUAA
Molecule: ribosomal RNA, 494 nt
Filed under: uncultured bacterium
Lineage: Bacteria
Description: partial 16S ribosomal RNA
Rfam family: Bacterial small subunit ribosomal RNA
Source: RNAcentral